CCUACGAGUGGCAGCAGUGGGGAAUCUUGCACAAUGGGGGGAACCCUGAUGCAGCGACGCCGCGUGGGUGAAGGAGUAUUUCGGUAUGUAAAGCCCUAUCAGCAGGGAAGAACAAUGACGGUACCUGACUCAGCAGCACCGGCUAAAUACGUGCCAGCAGCCGCGGUAAUCCGGAGGAUGCGAGCGUUAUCCGGAUUUAUUGGGUUUAAAGGGUGCGUAGGCGGACUGUUAAGUCAGCGGUAAAAGCCCGGGGCUCAACCCCGGCGAGCCGUUGAAACUGGCUGUCUUGAGAUGUCGAGAGGUAUGCGGAAUGCGCAGUGUAGCGGUGAAAUGCUUAGAUAUUGCGCAGAACUCCGAUUGCGAAGGCAGCAUACCGGCGGCGAUCUGACGCUGAGGCACGAAAGCGUGGGUAUCGAACAGGAUUAGAUACCCUUGUAGUC
This 440-nucleotide ribosomal RNA is filed under the name uncultured bacterium. Its description in RNAcentral is "partial 16S ribosomal RNA". It matches the Rfam family "Bacterial small subunit ribosomal RNA", at positions 338 to 795 of the family's 1533-position model. The record is from RNAcentral.